AUCAAAAGAGAAGAUCUACAGCCUUCAUCGCCAACCCCCAAAACUGGCAUUUUAAUUUAAACUAUCUUUUG
This 71-nucleotide transfer RNA is filed under the name Teira dugesii (Madeira wall lizard). RNAcentral's name for it is "tRNA-Pro". Lineage: Eukaryota; Metazoa; Chordata; Lepidosauria; Squamata; Lacertidae. The record is from RNAcentral.